GGGUAGGUGGCCGAGUGGUUAAAGGCGAUGGACUGUAAAUCCAUUCUGGGAAACCGGUACGCAGGUUCGAAUCCUGCCCUGCCCA
Molecule: transfer RNA, 85 nt
Filed under: Vulcanimicrobiaceae bacterium
Lineage: Bacteria; Bacillati; Vulcanimicrobiota; Vulcanimicrobiia; Vulcanimicrobiales; Vulcanimicrobiaceae
Description: tRNA-Tyr
Rfam family: tRNA
About the family: Transfer RNA (tRNA) molecules are approximately 80 nucleotides in length. Their secondary structure includes four short double-helical elements and three loops (D, anti-codon, and T loops).
Source: RNAcentral